This 3312-nucleotide long non-coding RNA is filed under the name Malus domestica (apple). RNAcentral's name for it is "long non-coding RNA (MDOM_LNC013205)". The record is from RNAcentral. Lineage: Eukaryota; Viridiplantae; Streptophyta; Magnoliopsida; Rosales; Rosaceae.
UCCACUCUCCGAUCCAAAUCCUUCCACGUAUGGGGUUCUGUUCAUCGUAGCUUCUGAAUUUCCUACCAUUGUAUCCUUUCUCUAAGGAUUGAUCAAGAAAUUUUUCUAGGAAAAGUUAAUUAAUACGACGUGUAAGAAACUCAACGUAACAGAAAAUUCGAGCAACUAAUGCGAGAGGCUUCUUCAAGUAUUUUGAAUCAGCUCUCAAUGAAAGCACCAAUUUGUCAAUGCGAAUUUUCACGGUCUUCAGUCUUGAUGAAAAUGCACCUGCAAAAUAAUCAACAUCUUUGAUCAAAGACCUAAGCCUCACGCACCCCCGAGGUGUUGGGGGGGUUAGGUCAACGGAUCUCCGAUGCCUAAGUUAGUUUCUCUGAGAGAGUAAAAUGUUUAGGGCUUUUUUAGGGUUGCAAAAGCUCUCAAAAAUUCGUAGAAUAUAGGGUAUUUAUAGGGCUAGGGCCAGCCAUAUAGUGUUUAAUGGAGAGAUAUUCUCUAAACAUUCCCAAGAUAUUUAAUAGGAGAUAAUAUCUUAAGAUAAUGGGGUAAUUAUCCCUAAUUGAUUUAAAUUAGGAUUACUUACUUGAUUGGAGUCAAUCUUAAAUUAGGAAUGAAUUAAAGAUAGGAUUUGGGUAAUUAAUCCUUAUCUUUAAUUCCUUACCAAGGGCAGGUGAGCUGUGGGCAGUUGUGUUCAGCUGUUGAGAUCUUCAGGGAUGUGAACUGGGAGUGGGAGCAUCUGAGAAACCUGCUCAUUUAUUUAGGGCAAUUUUUUCCUUAUUGAAUAAAAGUCCACGUGUCACCUCUAAAAUUUUUGGGAUUAUUUUAGGCUCCACAAUAUUAAUACAUGGGUGCAUGAAUACAAAAUGACACUGAGAGAAAAUCCUUUACAUAAAUUCAUAUAAUCUUUUCAUCUAAAUCGUUGUUGAGAAUUUAUACCUUUCGCUCAACCUUAAGAUCUGCAAUUUUGGUUGUUUCCUGCUGUAGAUCCGAGUGUCCUGCACAAGAUAUACACAUGCAUUAGGUACAUCUCAUCUCUCUCUUCCAUUUCAUCUAAGCAAAAGCACAAAAAUCACAGACGGAGAAAGCAUUUUUACCUUGCAUGGAGGACAAAGAUUACAGUGAUGGCUGUACUAAGAUGGGAUGGAUCUGGUGAUUGAACAAGGAGGCGAGUUUGUUUCAAGUUUAGGGGUAGCAGGUUGUAAUUCGAAUUUGAGCUAUGGUUAUGGAGGCACGGCUAGGGAGCAGCAGUUUUGUGUUAGGGUUUGAGAGAAAUGAAGAGAAAGGAAGAGAGCUCUCAUGGCUCUGGGCUCGAGACUAAAGAGAAGAAGGGAGAAGAGCUCAACGGCAUAAAUGGGAAAUGAAGGAGCAUGGGCUGCUAAAUGGUUAUAUAAAGAAGCAUCUAGAUUUAUUCACACAUGUGGUUCUGUGUGUUGUGUAAAGCUCAGCACCUCUUAAUGUGAUCUAGGUUAGGGGUUCCACUCCAAAGCUCAACACCUCUUCUUAUACAUUUUCAAAAUUUUACGAUGCUCCCUGGUCCUCUUCCGGGUCCCGGUUCGAAUCCCAGGUGUGUCAGUUUCCUUAUCUUUUCUUUUCUGUUUUAUUUGUUAUUUUAUAUUUUUUUUAUUGUUUUCGAUUUUUAUUUCCUAAUUUUAUUGUCCUAGUUUAUUUUCUUUAUCUUUGUUAGUUGUUUUAAGUUUUUAUUUUACGACUUAUUAUUUUUGUUUCUUUUCGUUUAUUUUAUUUUCCACAUUAAGGACAAUGUGUGAUUUAAGUUUGGGGGUGGGAAAUAAGAAUUUUUAAAUUUUUAUUUUUGAGUCAUGUUAAAAAAUUUCGUUUUUAAGUUAAUAUCCAUAGAUUAUUUUAAACAUUAGAACAAAUGGACAUGGUGAAUGUUAAUCUCACAGUAGAGUCUUUUCUAUUUACCGUUGCUUAGACACUAAUUCAUGAGUUGUACAUUGAAAAUUUGCACAUUCACAUCAACAUGAUUUGUGGGGAGUGAGAUGGGAACACUUAAUUUUGGUCUAUGUUAAUUUUUAAUUUUUGUUCUUAAUAAAGUAAAGUUUAGUUCGUAUCAUAAAAAAUAAAAAAUAAAAAGAGUAAUAAUUGUUCCACCAAAGACUUUGCUUAGUAACCAGGUCAGUUCUGCUUGAUCAACAGUGAUUCUCGCUUCAAACGGUAGUGUCUUGACAUGGGUUGGUUCAAACGGUAAUGCCUUUUUAGCGCGAGUUAAUAAGUUCUUAGAGGUGUUCUACACCUAGUGCCUUCACGACCUUGUGGUUUGGGAGUCAUUGACCUAAAGCUCGUUACAUGGGUUGAUUCGAAAGCUUAAGGGAACUGACAUUGCAUGACCACUACUAUUACUGAAAGAAAAAAAAUUAAAAAUAUAUACAUAUAUCAAGUUAGUAUGUGACACACCCCAACCCGGAAUGUCCACUAGAUCUUUGAAAUUGAGAUGUGUUGGUUGGCACCUGGAAGGUGACGAAGCCAUAAAGUGUAGUUGUGUGGAAGAUGUGAAUAAAUUUAAACCUAAAGGUGCCAAAAUAUAAGAGUGCGUUGGUGAGCAGGAUUGAACCCACCUCACACGUGAUGUCAGAGCAUAAGUAAAGUACAGUAUAAUAGGGUGAGAAUUAUAGCAUCGAAGGUACUCGUCUGCACCAAUAUUUGCCAAUAUUCCUCGUCAGCACAAAAGCUCUGCUACCAGAACCUGGAAGGGUAAAAAACAGAAGGGUGAAUGGGCAAAAACAAAACUUUAGAAAACACAUUUCUCUUUUCUAAAAGUUAUAACCCCUCGCUAUAAAACUUGUAUAGUUUCCAGAAAAUACUACUACGUAGGUAUGAAAACCAAUGCACAAAAGCAUAAAAAACUGAAGUAUGCCAUGUCAUAAUAUCUCAGCAAUAAUAAAUGUAAGCCAGGUAUGAAACCAAUUUAAAAUAGUAUGCCAGUCGGAGUCACCUAACGUGACAUGUACGACUAGACCUGUAGCUCAUCAAUCUAGGCUAACACACGAGUCGGAGUCACCUGGUGUGACCUGUACAACAGGCUAGGUAUAAAUAUGUACGCUCAAGUGCUACGAUCACAUAAAAGCUAUGCAAUAAUUCGGGGGUCACCUAUGAGUCGGAACCACCUAUUGUGGUCUGUACGACAAGCUGGCACCAAACUUGGAUCCAAGGUGAGCGUGCGGUAUGGGAGGUGAACAAUCAAGUGAAGGCUGGCCCUAGCCCCGAGCGGGAGCCCUAAUACCGGGCUACAGCCAUGAUGAGCUCUAAAUAAAUGUGUGCAUACCAAUGCAAUACAACUCAUUCAAUCACAUAAUACUC